This is a long non-coding RNA of Folsomia candida, 476 nucleotides long. RefSeq lists it as uncharacterized. Lineage: Eukaryota; Metazoa; Arthropoda; Collembola; Entomobryomorpha; Isotomidae. The transcript is spliced from 2 exons. The record is from RefSeq and is a predicted model, not a curated record.
CUUUUUGUUAAGUCAUACAUAAAUUCAUUCCAGGAACGACAGUCAUAAUGGAUAUCAAAAUUUCAUUUUUCGCAACAUUUCUGGCACUAAUUUGGACGUGCCAUGCACAGAACUACAGAAACGUUUCAAAAUUAGGAACUUGGAUACCGCUCCCAACGCCCGUGGUUGGAACACCUGUCGCAGCGCCCGCGACGGGAUGUCAAACCUGCACUGAAGCGGCGUGCUGCUCUAACCUUUGUCCGAAUAGUUAUUUUUGUAGCGUGACGGCAGGCGCGGCACCACAAUGCUUCCAGCCGCCGGGGUCAUUUACGGGUGUGAUGGCAUGUAAGCGGCCAAACUGCGAUACCUGCACUGCGACACAAAUUAGCUGUGCUGCUGUUACGACUGUAUGCGCUCCCACGGCAGUGGCGGGUGUUUGCGACUAUAAUUAUUAGAAUUUUGGAACAAAAUAAAAAUGAAAGCUGUUACUAAUGUAA